CGCAGUGCUCCCUAGACGCCUAGGUAGCUGCGCGGCCCGUCCGGCAGUGUCUGAUGGUAGGGGCAGAUGGUGGAGACAGGUGGGUUCUAGGUGCGUUAGGAAGGUGUAUAGACCUGGGGCUCAGGUGUGGGAAGGGGCCAGCGAGUGAGAGAAGCUCGGCCUGGGGAAGAGGCUCUGAGAGGAUGGGCAUCCCAGGAGUGAGAGUUUCGAGAUUUCUUCGGGAAAGACGGGGUUUUGGGAAAUGUGCUGUGGUGCUGUCUGUAUGUCACACGAUCUGCGAGGAGCUGCGAGAUUAAAGGGGACGUGCGUAUAUCGAGCCCCU
Molecule: long non-coding RNA, 322 nt
Filed under: Homo sapiens (human)
Lineage: Eukaryota; Metazoa; Chordata; Mammalia; Primates; Hominidae
Description: HSALNT0330954
Source: RNAcentral